Brassica rapa (field mustard) is the source of this 756-nucleotide long non-coding RNA. RefSeq lists it as uncharacterized. Lineage: Eukaryota; Viridiplantae; Streptophyta; Magnoliopsida; Brassicales; Brassicaceae. The record is from RefSeq and is a predicted model, not a curated record.
ACUUCUUCGUUGUAAUGUAGUCCAUAUUUUCGGAUUCUAGCUUCUGAUUACAAAUAUCCUUAUUUUGUUGUCUUAUCUCAUCGAAGCAUCUGUAUAUGUCCAUCGCCUGAACACAUUCCUAGAACUUCUUAGGGAGUGAGCUAUGUUUGAGCUUAGUGGAUUCGAUGUGACUAGAAGCAACAAUUAUUUCAAGCUUUAUGAUUCUCCUGUGGCCAUCCGUCUAAAUGAGUUUACGAAGAUGGUUGAAGUUCCUGCUGUUGCUCAUCUGAUUUCUACUGAGAUGUUUAGGUUUCGAUCUGUUGAGCAACUCAUGUCUUUAGCUAAUACUAAUGUUGAGCUUCCAGGGUGGUGGCCACACCCCUGAUGAUGAUAUGCAUUCCAAGUUCAAUGUUGGUGUCUCAUCUGGCGGUAAUCCCGCUGAGGGUGGUGAAGAUCCCAUGGAACCAUCUGAUGCUGAGGAAACCAUAGCAAGUCGUGAGCAGACAUAAUACACUUCUGAGACUGUUUAUAACGUCCCACCAGAUUCACCUGAAGGGAAUCCACCGAAAAAGGGUCGGAAUGCAAAGUCCUUUAAGUAGCAGAUAUGAGGAACUAUGCAGUCGUGUUGACAUACGCUUUGUCUUUGUCGCUCAGUUUAUGCUAGGACAGUUGGUCCACUAUCUAAUUUAAAAUUCAUUUGUUUUUGUUUCUAUUUGCUAGACGUUUGAAGUUUUUAAUAUUACUCUUUUCUUAUUUUAUAAUGAACCCACUUUUAUG